This 224-nucleotide ribosomal RNA is filed under the name uncultured bacterium. Its description in RNAcentral is "partial 16S ribosomal RNA". It matches the Rfam family "Bacterial small subunit ribosomal RNA", at positions 32 to 244 of the family's 1533-position model. The record is from RNAcentral.
AAUCAACGCUGGCGGCGUGCCUCAGACAUGCAAGUCGAACGAUUAAAGCUCUCUUCGGAGAGUGUAUAGAGUGGCGCACGGGUGAGUAACACGUAAGUAAUCUACCUUCGAGUGGGGAAGUAACAGUCGGAACGACUGCUAAUACCGCAUAAUGCAGCGGCAUCGCAAGAAUGACAGUUGUUAAAGGAAGUAAUUCGCUUGAAGAGGAGCUUGCGGCAGAUUAG